GGGGCUGUAGCUCAGUUGGCUUAGAGCGAUACGUUCGCAACGUAUAGGUCAGGGGUUCGAUCCCCCUCAGCUCCA
Molecule: non-coding RNA, 75 nt
Organism: Lentisphaerae bacterium GWF2_50_93
Lineage: Bacteria; Pseudomonadati; Lentisphaerota
Source: Rfam